Molecule: ribosomal RNA, 305 nt
Filed under: uncultured bacterium
Lineage: Bacteria
Description: bacterial SSU rRNA
Rfam family: Bacterial small subunit ribosomal RNA
Source: RNAcentral
CCUUCCUACGGGACGCAGCAGUGGGGAAUAUUGCACAAUGGGGGAAACCCUGAUGCAGCGACGCCGCGUGAGCGAAGAAGUAUUUCGGUAUGUAAAGCUCUAUCAGCAGGGAAGAAAAAUGACGGUACCUGAGUAAGAAGCACCGGCUAAAUACGUGCCAGCAGCCGCGGUAAUACGUAGGGGGCAAGCGUUAUCCGGAUUUACUGGGUGUAAAGGGGGCGCAGACGGCGAUGCAAGCCAGGAGUGAAAGCCCGGGGCCCAACCCCGGGACUGCUCUUGGAACUGCGUGGCUGGAGUGCAGGAGG